Molecule: long non-coding RNA, 753 nt
Filed under: Ananas comosus (pineapple)
Lineage: Eukaryota; Viridiplantae; Streptophyta; Magnoliopsida; Poales; Bromeliaceae
Description: long non-coding RNA (ACOM_LNC009039)
Source: RNAcentral
UAACAAUGUGGGUUGCUACCUGCAAUGUGGGUUGGUGAGGGAAGGUUGGCACGGGCGGCGGAUGCGGGGGUUGACGGUGAACGGCGGGGGCGACGUCGGCAGGGGUGACGGUGACCGACGAGGGCUCCUGGAGAUGGUAUGGCAGAGAGAGAGAGAGAGAGAGAGAGAGAGAGAGAGAGAGCGUAGAGGGAAGGAGAGGUGUCGGGGUCGGGGUGGGGUGCGGGUAUACCUAAUGAAGACGGUGAAUUGUUCACCGUCUUCAUAAAGCGAUGAACGAUUCAUCUUCUUAUCUUGGGCACUGCAAGGCGGAGGUGCUUUGCACUAAAGGCGGUGAAUCGUUCACCGCCUUAUUAAGACGGUGAACGAUUCACCGUCUUCUCUAGGGCACAGCCGUGUUGUGGUGAUGGUUUUGUACUAAAUGCGGUGAAUUGUUCAGGUGAUGGUUUUGUACUAAAUGCGGUAAAUCGUUCACCAUUUUAUGAAGACGGUGAACGAUUCACUGUCUUACUAAGGCCACGCCCAAGACUUGGAGAGAUUUGCGCAGCGGGAUGGGGAUUUGCACUAAAGGCAGUAAAUAGUUCACCGUCUUCUCAAGGCAGUGAACCAUAUACCGUCUUCACAACAAAUAUUACAAAGACGGUGAACAAUUCACCGUCUUUGUGAGAAAAUCUUGACAUGGCGCCCACGUGACAAAAGAAGGAUAAGUUUUACAAAUAAAUUUUGGCAGGGACAUUUUGCUAAUUUCGAUUUUUU